RNAcentral lists this ribosomal RNA (253 nucleotides) under uncultured bacterium. RNAcentral's name for it is "partial 16S ribosomal RNA". It matches the Rfam family "Bacterial small subunit ribosomal RNA", at positions 524 to 776 of the family's 1533-position model. The record is from RNAcentral.
UACGGAGGAUGCAAGUGUUAUCCGGAAUCACUGGGCGUAAAGCGUCUGUAGGUGGUUUAAAAAGUCCACUGUUAAAAAUUGAAGCUUAACUUCAAAGAUGCCGUGGAAACUUUUAAACUUGAGUAUGGUAGGGGUAGAGGGAAUUUCCAGUGGAGCGGUGAAAUGCGUAGAUAUUGGAAAGACCACCAAUGGCGAAGGCACUCUACUGGGCCAUUACUGACACUGAGAGACGAAAGCUAGGGGAGCAAAUGGG